RNAcentral lists this ribosomal RNA (489 nucleotides) under Triticum aestivum (bread wheat). RNAcentral's name for it is "partial small subunit ribosomal RNA". Lineage: Eukaryota; Viridiplantae; Streptophyta; Magnoliopsida; Poales; Poaceae. The record is from RNAcentral.
AUGAAUUGCAUAACGUGGAAUUGUCGCGGGCUUGGGAACCCGGAGACAGUUCGGGAACUUCACCAUUUGGUGAGGGUUGAAGCGCCCACCCUAGUCUUCGUGUCGGAGACGAAGAUUGAAGGAAAUAAGGUAGCGGAGAUGCAAGCAAGAUUGGGGUUUGAAGGAUGUAUACCUGUCAGCAGCAAUGGGCUGAGCGGAGGACUUGCCCUCUUCUGGUCUAGGGAGGUGGAUGUUAAGCUCAACAACAUGUCUAAUCAACAUAUAGAUGUUAUGGUAAGGAAUGUGGGUAGCGACCAGAAGGAGUGGCGUUUUACAGGCUUUUAUGCCAAAGCAAAAAGAAGUGAAAGGAGUGAGAGUUGGACACUUUUGAAGUGGUUGCGAUGCCAAAGUGAUGUACCAUGGUUGUGUGGUGGGGACUUCAAGAUUACAGAUAAUACAGAAUAUUUUGGGGCUAACGAAAGGGCGGAAUGGAAAAUGCAAGGUUUCUGA